UAAGAUGCUGAGAAGGAACGGAGUAAUUUUGCAAAUUCCUGUAUAGAGAACUAGCGGUUGGUGGAAGCUAGGUUAAAUUUGUAAAGUGAAUUACAUUCUGGAGCAAUUUCUUUAUGAUUAGAAUGAAGAAACGGUGGCAACAUCGUUAACAACCCCAAGUGGCAUUGAUGUGCAACAAGGGUGGUACCGCGUGUGAAUAAUAACUCGUCCCUUUU
This 215-nucleotide non-coding RNA is filed under the name Virgibacillus salexigens. RNAcentral's name for it is "T-box". It matches the Rfam family "T-box leader". From Rfam's summary of the family: Uncharged tRNA acts as the effector for transcription antitermination of genes in the T-box leader family. T-boxes are found upstream of many aminoacyl-tRNA synthetase genes and some amino acid biosynthetic genes usually in Gram-positive bacteria. Lineage: Bacteria; Bacillati; Bacillota; Bacilli; Caryophanales; Bacillaceae. The record is from RNAcentral.